GAGGGAGACUCGAGAAGAUGUGGGUGGCGCACGGGAGUGCAAAGUCAUCCCACAAGGAGCUGGAGACCGGUGACUUAGGGAGUGCUGAAGCGGAAGCCAAUGGUGCACGAGGAGAUGUUCUCUAGUAGUGGUUAAGUGGGGUUUCUCUCUGUCAAGAUAACAAAUUAAUUUCAUUCCUCUAUCUUUGUUACUUAACAGGAGCACAUCCUCUAGAAUGGUCUUGAGGAGAUGUUCUCUAGCGAUACUGGGGGCUCUCUCUUUCUCUCUCUGGAUGAUGAGAGAG
This 283-nucleotide long non-coding RNA is filed under the name Elaeis guineensis (African oil palm). RNAcentral describes it as "long non-coding RNA (EGUI_LNC060173)". Lineage: Eukaryota; Viridiplantae; Streptophyta; Magnoliopsida; Arecales; Arecaceae. The record is from RNAcentral.